Molecule: unclassified non-coding RNA, 1683 nt
Filed under: Hevea brasiliensis (rubber tree)
Lineage: Eukaryota; Viridiplantae; Streptophyta; Magnoliopsida; Malpighiales; Euphorbiaceae
Source: RNAcentral
AAUGCUUUAUUCUCAAGAGGAAAGUUUCUGUCAAUGUUCUUUCAUCAAUCGACAUGUUGAGGCAUGGUCCAAAACUGAGGUUCCUAUGUGUUACGAUGAGGAAAUGGGACGUAUUGUUUCUUCGUUAAAAUCCAUUGGGUUGACAUUCAAGGUAUUUAGACAUCGCCACUUUGGGUGUUUAGACGUGAUUGAUCAGAAAGAGCUAGACCUUCUUAUCUCGGAGAUCAGUACAGAUAAGUCACAGAAAGACCAUGUUAUGGAAGAACUUAUCAGCGCAUGUAAGUCAACAAGUUUAUUUGAACUUAGUGAACUCUUAUAUUCAAAAGGGGAAAAUAAUGCACUAUUUUAAAGCAUAAUGAAUUGAAAAUUUUCAUCAUUCAUAUCGUAUGUGAGUUCACGAUGGAGGUAGGAAUUUCCUCAGACUUACUUUAGAAGACCUAGUUUCUCUCUUUUGGUUUUUGUUUUCUGCAGCCGGUGGCAGUACCUCCCUUGACGGAUGUGGGUGUCAACUUGGUGCCUGCAGUUUCAUGGCUUGGUGAUCACUAAUCUUAUCUCCUUUUAGUGUUGUCCAAUAAGGAUAAAAAUUUGCUUGAUAGUGUAUAUAUAUAUAUAUAUAUAAAAUUUGAAUUAUUUGGUGUAAUCAAUUGCAGAUCAAACCAGACCGACCAAUGCUCAUCCCUAUUUAGUUAAGCUUGAAUGGAUAAUGAAGGCUUUAUUUUUAUGGAUCUCUUGGCAGCACUCAUCUUCUAAUUAUUCACUUCUUGAUUUUUGGAUCUCUAAGCACCAAGUCGUGAUUUUUUAUUUUUUUCAUCACUUGUAUUUAUCUUUUGUAUUUAGGGCUAUACCAUCUUUCUCUUGACAUUUUUCUGGCUUAUUUUACUUUAUUUCUUAUUUAUUUAUUUAUUUUACAGGUGCCAGCAGCCACAAAAUUUGGCAUGGGAUUAGCUGACAGGGCAGUUGGAUUUUUGUUAUCAUUCAUCAGUUUAUCUAUCUUUACUUAUUAUACUUUCUGGGUCAUUAUCCUGCCAUUUGUAGAUAGUGAUCACUUCAUCCACCAGUAUUUCCCGCCACUAGAAUAUGCCAUACUGAUACCUGUAUUUGCCGGUGUCACGCUUCUGUUCUUUCUAUGCGUUUUUAUUGGAAUGGUGAUGCUUAAAUCCAAAAAGAAGAAGCCAUAAUGCUAAUUCUCUUGUCAUUAUCAUGUAUUCUACUACAUUCUGGAAUUCCAAACCUUUUUUCUCACUUAAUAUGAUUUUGAUAGCGAGUGCAGUUGUCAGUAUGAGUUGCUUUCUAACAUUUCUAAUGAUUUGCUACUUUAGAUUUGAAGCCUGAAGUUUCAUAGAUGCAAUUGACAGUGUUUUUUUAUUAUUUUAUGACAAUAAUAUAAACUUUCCAACUUGUUUCGUGUCUGAAAUAGUUGCAUUGCUAACAGGAUUCAGUUAUCAGGAUUAUAUUGCCCUGUAGAAGAACUAUGUUUGAAAUAAUUAAAUUUGUUAAUUUAAUUCAUCAUUCUUCCUGCAAUUUGCAGAGGCAGCACCACGUGGCUUGUAAUUGCAUUGUAGGUGCUAAAUGACCCUGGUUUUAAUGUUCUUAUUUUUCUUAUUGCAUUGUUGAUUCUGAGGGUAACAGUGUAAAUCUGUUUUAUCUGGUUUGCUGCUUUCUUAAUGUUACGUUCAUGAUUAC